GCCUCUUGGCCGCUCAGAUGGUAGAGCACGUCAUUCGUAAUGAUGGGGUCGUAGGUUCGAGUCCUAUCAGCGGCACCA
RNAcentral lists this transfer RNA (78 nucleotides) under Roseibium album. RNAcentral describes it as "tRNA-Thr". The stretch from base 9 to 75 matches the Rfam family "tRNA". Rfam says of the family: Transfer RNA (tRNA) molecules are approximately 80 nucleotides in length. Their secondary structure includes four short double-helical elements and three loops (D, anti-codon, and T loops). Further hydrogen bonds mediate the characteristic L-shaped molecular structure. tRNAs have two regions of fundamental functional importance: the anti-codon, which is responsible for specific mRNA codon recognition, and the 3' end, to which the tRNAs corresponding amino acid is attached (by aminoacyl-tRNA synthetases). tRNAs cope with the degeneracy of the genetic code in two manners: having more than one tRNA (with a specific anti-codon) for a particular amino acid; and 'wobble' base-pairing, i.e. permitting non-standard base-pairing at the 3rd anti-codon position. The record is from RNAcentral. Lineage: Bacteria; Pseudomonadati; Pseudomonadota; Alphaproteobacteria; Hyphomicrobiales; Stappiaceae. RNAcentral also lists the same sequence under 3 other names.